CGCUGAUCGACAACGCUCUGAGCAAGAAACCGCAGGUGGUGCGUAUCGAGCCCACCGACAAGGCGUUCAAGACGGAUGGUUGCCAGCCGUGGCAGAGCACGCCGGACGCCGAAGUGCCGAACGCGCUCCCGGGGCCGGCGGCCGGUGGUCAAUUGCAGACCAACCUCGGCACCCUCAACGGUUUGCUCGGCCCGAACGGAAUGCAGGUA
Molecule: non-coding RNA, 209 nt
Filed under: Mycobacterium intermedium
Lineage: Bacteria; Bacillati; Actinomycetota; Actinomycetes; Mycobacteriales; Mycobacteriaceae
Description: Mycobacterium sRNA 6715
Rfam family: Mycobacterium sRNA 6715
About the family: First sRNA identified as a potential biomarker for the detection of MTB in patients.
Source: Rfam by way of RNAcentral